GAUGAACGCUGGCGGCGUGCCUAAUACAUGCAAGUCGAGCGAACGGACGAGAAGCUUGCUUCUCUGAUGUUAGCGGCGGACGGGUGAGUAACACGUGGAUAACCUACCUAUAAGACUGGGAUAACUUCGGGAAACCGUAGCUAAUACCGGCUAAUAUUUUGAACCGCAUGGUUCCAAAGUGAAAGACGGUCUUGCUGUCACUUAUAGAUGGAUCCGCGCUGCAUUAGCUAGUUGGUAAGGUAACGGCUUACCAAGGCAACGAUGCAUAGCCGACCUGAGAGGGUGAUCGGCCACACUGGAACUGAGACACGGUCCAGACUCCUACGGGAGGCAGCAGUAGGGAAUCUUCCGAAAUGGGCGAAAGCCUGACGGAGCAACGCCGCGUGAGUGAUGAAGGUCUUCGGAUCGUAAAACUCUGUUAUUAGGGAAGAACAUAUGUGUAAGUAACUGUGCACAUCUUGACGGUACCUAAUCAGAAAGCCACGGCUAACUACGUG
This 497-nucleotide ribosomal RNA is filed under the name uncultured bacterium. RNAcentral's name for it is "partial 16S ribosomal RNA". It matches the Rfam family "Bacterial small subunit ribosomal RNA", at positions 28 to 507 of the family's 1533-position model. The record is from RNAcentral.